RNAcentral lists this ribosomal RNA (796 nucleotides) under Salmonella enterica. Its description in RNAcentral is "partial 23S ribosomal RNA". It matches the Rfam family "Bacterial large subunit ribosomal RNA", at positions 1163 to 1915 of the family's 2925-position model. Lineage: Bacteria; Pseudomonadati; Pseudomonadota; Gammaproteobacteria; Enterobacterales; Enterobacteriaceae. The record is from RNAcentral.
CAAGACAACUUUACGGAGUUGACGAUUGACGGAGCGAAGCGACGUCAAAGCGUUCAUUAAAGUCGAGUUGGCUUAGGGAUACGUUCGUUGGGUAGGGGAGCGUUCUGUAAGCCUGUGAAGGUGUGUCGUGAGGCAUGCUGGAGGUAUCAGAAGUGCGAAUGCUGACAUAAGUAACGAUAAAGCGGGUGAAAAGCCCGCUCGCCGGAAGACCAAGGGUUCCUGUCCAACGUUAAUCGGGGCAGGGUGAGUCGACCCCUAAGGCGAGGCCGAAAGGCGUAGUCGAUGGGAAACGGGUUAAUAUUCCCGUACUUGGUGUUACUGCGAAGGGGGGACGGAGAAGGCUAUGUUGGCCGGGCGACGGUUGUCCCGGUUUAAGCGUGUAGGUGUGUGUUCCAGGUAAAUCCGGUUCACUUUAACACUGAGGCGUGACGACGAGGCACUACGGUGCUGAAGCAACAAAUGCCCUGCUUCCAGGAAAAGCCUCUAAGCAUCAGGUAACACGAAAUCGUACCCCAAACCGACACAGGUGGUCAGGUAGAGAAUACCAAGGCGCUUGAGAGAACUCGGGUGAAGGAACUAGGCAAAAUGGUGCCGUAACUUCGGGAGAAGGCACGCUGACACGUAGGUGAAGUGAUUUACUCAUGGAGCUGAAGUCAGUCGAAGAUACCAGCUGGCUGCAACUGUUUAUUAAAAACACAGCACUGUGCAAACACGAAAGUGGACGUAUACGGUGUGACGCCUGCCCGGUGCCGGAAGGUUAAUUGAUGGGGUCAGCGUAAGCGAAGCUCCUGAUCGA